CCUACGGGUGGCAGCAGUGAGGAAUAUUGGUCAAUGGACGAGCGUCUGAACCAGCCAAGUAGCGUGAAGGAUGACUGCCCUAUGGGUUGUAAACUUCUUUUAUAUGGGAAUAAAAUGUUCCACGUGUGGGAUUUUGUAUGUACCCUAUGAAUAAGGAUCGGCUAACUCCGUGCCAGCAGCCGCGGUAAUACGGAGGAUCCGAGCGUUAUCCGGAUUUAUUGGGGUUAAAGGGAGCGUAGGUGGAUUGUUAAGUCAGUUGUGAAAGUUUGCGGCUCAACCGUAAAAUUGCAGUUGAAACUGGCAGUCUUGAGUACAGUAGAGGUGGGCGGAAUUCGUGGUGUAGCGGUGAAAUGCAUAGAUAUCACGAAGAACUCCGAUUGCGAAGGCAGUUCACUGGACUGCAACUGACACUGAGGCUCGAAAGUGUGGGUAUCAAACAGGAUUAGAUACCCCAGUAGUC
RNAcentral lists this ribosomal RNA (460 nucleotides) under uncultured bacterium. Its description in RNAcentral is "partial 16S ribosomal RNA". It matches the Rfam family "Bacterial small subunit ribosomal RNA", at positions 338 to 795 of the family's 1533-position model. The record is from RNAcentral.